CGGGAGCUGCAGGCAAUCAUGGCUUUCUGAUGGGUGCAUUUGGCCAAUGGGCCAAACAUAGACAUCCAGGCCUCUCAGUUUGGACUUUUGGACUCUCCCCCAGCCAGGCCAUACCCCAUUUCCCCAGGCUAUGUCCCCUCACAUCUAGUUUGUUGAUAUUCCCACCACCACCAUCCCACUCGGUCCUCCACUCACAAAUCGGAUGGAAGGAACCUUGCACAAGUUGGGGAAGGUGAAUGCCUGGAUGGAAACGUCUUCUUUUUUCUUCAUUGCAUACUGAAGAAAGGGAAAUCCAACCUGAUGGUCCUGGAAUGGCUGACCACUCCAUGACUAAGGAAAUGGACAGAGAAGUUCUGGAAGGGGAAUUACCUCCCCCAUCACAUGCCACCCACCCCAUCCUAAUCAGAGACAAGAAGUGCUGGGAGCGAUGGCAGUUGGAGAUCAGCCUGGGCAAAGAAGCCUAGUCAACACCACAGGACUGAAAACAUCUGACAGCUGAACAUAAGCCUGGUAGCCUC
This is a long non-coding RNA of Elgaria multicarinata webbii, 518 nucleotides long. RefSeq lists it as uncharacterized. The record is from RefSeq and is a predicted model, not a curated record. Lineage: Eukaryota; Metazoa; Chordata; Lepidosauria; Squamata; Anguidae. The transcript has 3 exons.